CAAUAGCGUAUAUUAAAGUUGUUGCAGUUAAAAGGCUCGUAGUUGGAUUUCGGGGCAGCCUGGCUGGUCCGCCGCAAGGCGAGUACUGGUCAGCCGCCCUUCCUCUCGAAAGCCCCGACUGCUCUUCGUUGCAGUGGUCGGGUAGUUCGGGACGUUUACUUUGAAAAAAUUAGAGUGUUCAAGGCAGGCCUACGCCUGAAUACAUUAGCAUGGAAUAAUGGAAGAGGACCUCGGUCCUAUUUUGUUGGUUUCCAGGGCCGAAGUAAUGAUUAAGAGGGACAGUUGGGGGCAUUCGUAUUUAAUUGUCAGAGGUGAAAUUCUCGGAUUUAUGAAAGACGAACAACUGCGAAAGCAUUUGCCAAGGAUGUUUUCAUUAA
Molecule: ribosomal RNA, 377 nt
Filed under: uncultured eukaryote
Lineage: Eukaryota
Description: partial 18S ribosomal RNA
Rfam family: Eukaryotic small subunit ribosomal RNA
Source: RNAcentral